CAGAUCCAAAUGCCUUUAGAAGUUCAUCAAUGGCUCGAAUGAAGCUCUAAUUUGGACAAGUGAUGAUUGACGAUGAUAGUAGCUUGGGUGGUGGUUUUGGAAGGAUUGGGUGCCGGUCUACCAUGUUUGGAUGCAACUGGAGGUUGUUUGGUCAGUUAUGGAAUACAUUGCUGGAGGAGAGCUAUUUGACAAGUUUGUAGCGCAACGCUUCAGUGACCAUGAGGUAAGUAUUCUUGAUUAUGUCUAAUGGAGGUCUGAACAAGCCAACGGUUCAUAAUCAUUUAUCUCUUGGCGAUUCGAUUGACUUUGUGAAGGUUUAAGAGGUAAUUUAAUUAGUUUUUUUUUUAAUUGAUCAAUGCUAACUUCUUUUGAUUUUGAGUUCUUUAAUUUAGGGUAUAAUAUUUUAAAUGAAGUUUCACUCAGUGAUUCAGUGUUAUUAAGUUUAGUGUUUGAUAUGUUAAAACGAAAGUUUGAUUUUGGUGAUUCAGUGUUCUUUAAUUCAAGGUUACAUAUUUUUAACGAGGUUUAAUUUUGGUGCAUCAGUUGCAGGCUCUGCUGAGUUGCAGGGCUCUGCUGCAAUUGUUAAUUCCUUGGUCAUCUGCUGCAAUAGUUCAGCAUGAAGCUCAUUUUAAUUUAUCUUUUUAUAUGAGAUGUCAAAAAGAUUGUUUAACAUGCUUUCUUCAAUUUCAAUUUUCUAUAUUGUAUAUGAGGACUCAGUAAAGUCAAACCGUGGAAGCAAACCUUUAGGAAAUUACUAUAGAAAGAAAAAAGAUGAGUUAAAGAUCGGGGACCAGCCGUAAAUUACUAUAGUGAGAAAAAUUGAAGGCGCAAUUGCGAGAAGAGGGUAGUAGUGGCGGACAAAGACUAUGAUGCUUCAGUAUUUUAAUGGCACCGUUGCUAUCAGUGAUCCUGAAUCACCAGUAUCGACUUCAUUUUCAUGUUUUAAUUUAGCUCCCAGGUGCCAUCCUUGCGCAAGAAAGUUCACAUGGCCAAAAGUUACGGACAAGUCAACUGUCCCCACAAUAUUUUUGACUGGUUAACGGGUCAUUUGACCUUAAAUUGAAAUAUUUCACUGUUGGUUACCUUACAUAUAAGUUCUUCAAAUUGGACCAGAACUUUCGGUUUGUUAAUAGUCAAGAAAGAGUGUUUGCUAUUCAAGUGUUCGAGCUCCACAGAUUGAUAAAGUCACAAAACCGACUUUUGGGUUUCAUGCGCCUUCAAGAUUAGAAGGUAUCCCCCAAUCUCGACCGGAUUUACCCGAAACCUCACAUUUGAUGAAGAUACUGAGAAAUGUGGGGGCAGAGCGGCCUAAUUGGCCCCACGAGGACGAGCCAUUCAUGGGCGUGCACCAAAUGAGGCCAACAUCGCCAUCUCAUAUGGCGUAACCUGCGAAUGAAUUGCAGCUGUACCUAUCAAAAUUUUAUCUUAUAUGGUUCCUUCA
Molecule: long non-coding RNA, 1441 nt
Organism: Helianthus annuus (common sunflower)
Lineage: Eukaryota; Viridiplantae; Streptophyta; Magnoliopsida; Asterales; Asteraceae
Exons: 6
Source: RefSeq, a predicted model, not a curated record